RNAcentral lists this ribosomal RNA (443 nucleotides) under uncultured bacterium. RNAcentral's name for it is "partial 16S ribosomal RNA". It matches the Rfam family "Bacterial small subunit ribosomal RNA", at positions 338 to 795 of the family's 1533-position model. The record is from RNAcentral.
CCUACGGGUGGCAGCAGUGGGGAAUAUUGCACAAUGGGCGAAAGCCUGAUGCAGCAACGCCGCGUGAAGGAAGACGGUUCUCGGAUUGUAAACUUCUAUUAAUAGGGAAGAAAGAAAUGACGGUACCUAAAUAAGGAGCCCCGGCUAACUACGUGCCUGCAGCCGCGGUAAUACGUAGGGGGCAAGCGUUAUCCGGAAUUACUGGGUGUAAAGGGAGAGUAGGCGGCAAGGUAAGGGAUAUGGUAAAGUUUUAAGCUUAACUAAAGGAUUGGAUAACGAACUAGCUGGCUAGAGUACAGGAGAGGAUAGCGGAAUUCGUGGUGUAGCGGUGAAAUGCGUAGAUAUUAGGAAGAACACCAAUGGCGAGGGCGGCUUUCUGGACUGAAACUGACACUGAGGCUCGAAAGUGUGGGGAUCAAACAGGAUUAGAUACCCCUGUAGUC